CCUACGGGUGGCAGCAGUAGGGAAUAUUGCUCAAUGGGGGAAACCCUGAAGCAGCAACGCCGCGUGGAGGAUGAAGGUUUUAGGAUUGUAAACUCCUUUUCUUAGAGAAGAUUAUGACGGUGUUUCACGAAUAAUCACCCGCUAACUCCGUCCCAGCAGCCGCGGUAAUACGGAGGGUGUAAGCGUUACUCGGAAUCACUGGGCGUAAUGAGUGUGUAGGCGGGGUUAUAAGUCAGAUGUGAAAACCUGGGGCUUAACCACAGGACUGCAUUUGAAACUGUUACUCUGGAGUGUGGGAGAGGUAGGUGGAAUUCUGGGUGUAGGGGUAAAAUCCGUAGAGAUAAAGAGGAAUACUCAUUGCGAAGGCGAACUGCUGGAACAUUACUGACGCUGAGGCACGAAAGCGUGGGGAGCAAACAGGAUUAGAUACCCUAGUAGUC
Molecule: ribosomal RNA, 440 nt
Filed under: uncultured bacterium
Lineage: Bacteria
Description: partial 16S ribosomal RNA
Rfam family: Bacterial small subunit ribosomal RNA
Source: RNAcentral